AAUUUAACAGAAAAACAAAAGCAGCAAACAAUAUCGGAGUGAUCCUUUAGAAACCCAUUGUUUUGUAAUGUCAUCUGAUACUACCUGAAGACCUAAUCAAAAAUGCUUCGAGCUGUAUUUUUCGAGUUGUUGAAAACUUCCACCGUUUCAGUGUUCUAGUACUUAAACCGUACAUCGAAUAGUGCUUGAGAGUUUGUUGUUUCCCGUAUUUGUAUUAAAUAAAAUAAAAUCAAAAUGGAAUCUCGAGAAGCUUUGCUGCUCCAGUAGCUCGAAUAUCUACGAAUGUCUCGAGCUUUUCUGAAUAUUUGAAUUGUUCGAAUUCGAAAAUACUCGAUCUACUCCAGCAGUUUGGUGUUCGAACAUUUUAAAGCACAUAGUAUAUAGCCUAUAAAUACCUCGGACUUAACUCAUCUUUAUCAGUGUAAUCUAUAUCAAUAAAUUGCAGUAAUUAUAU
Long non-coding RNA from Teleopsis dalmanni, 454 nucleotides. RefSeq lists it as uncharacterized. The transcript is spliced from 3 exons. Lineage: Eukaryota; Metazoa; Arthropoda; Insecta; Diptera; Diopsidae. The record is from RefSeq and is a predicted model, not a curated record.